This 1311-nucleotide ribosomal RNA is filed under the name metagenome. RNAcentral's name for it is "bacterial LSU rRNA". It matches the Rfam family "Bacterial large subunit ribosomal RNA", at positions 1627 to 2925 of the family's 2925-position model. The record is from RNAcentral.
UCAGUCUAGAGUUGACCGUACCGCAAACCGACACAGGUGGGCAGGAUGAAAAUUCUAAGGCGCUUGAGAGAACUCAGGAGAAGGAACUCGGCAAAUUAACACCGUAACUUCGGGAGAGGGUGUGCCCCGGUAGCGUGUAGAGACUUGCUCUCGAAGCGCGAUGGGGUUGCAGUGAAAUGGUGGCUGCGACUGUUUAAUAAAAACACAGCACUCUGCAAACGCGAAAGUGGACGUAUAGGGUGUGACGCCUGCCCGGUGCCGGAAGGUUAAGUGAUGGGGUGCAAGCUCUUGAUCGAAGCCCCGGUAAACGGCGGCCGUAACGAUAACGGUCCUAAGGUAGCGAAAUUCCUUGUCGGGUAAGUUCCGACCUGCACGAAUGGCGUAACGAUGGCCACACUGUCUCCUCCUGGGACUCAGCGAAGUUGAAAUGUUUGUGAAGAUGCAAUCUACCCGCGGCUAGACGGAAAGACCCCAUGAACCUUUACUGUAGCUUUGCAUUGGACUUUGAACCGGUUUGUGUAGGAUAGGUGGGAGACUGUGAAGCCGGGACGCUAGUUUCGGUGGAGUCAACCUUGAAAUACCACCCUGAUUUGUUUGAGGUUCUAACCUUGGUCCGUGAAUCCGGAUCGGGGACCGUGCAUGGUAGGCAGUUUGACUGGGGCGGUCUCCUCCCAAAAGGUAACGGAGGAGUACGAAGGUACGCUUAGGGCGGUCGGACAUCGCCCACAAAGUGCAAUGGCAAAAGCGUGCUUGACUGCGAGACCCACAAGUCGAGCAGGUACGAAAGUAGGUCAUAGUGAUCCGGUGGUUCUGUAUGGAAGGGCCAUCGCUCAACGGAUAAAAGGUACUCUGGGGAUAACAGGCUAAUUCCUCCCAAGAGUUCAUAUCGACGGGGGAGUUUGGCACCUCGAUGUCGGCUCAUCACAUCCUGGGGCUGUAGUCGGUCCCAAGGGUAUGGCUGUUCGCCAUUUAAAGUGGUACGCGAGCUGGGUUUAAAACGUCGUGAGACAGUUUGGUCCCUAUCUGCCGUGGGCGCUGGAAAUUUGAAGGGGGCUGCUCCUAGUACGAGAGGACCGGAGUGGACGAACCUCUGGUGUACCGGUUAUGACGCCAGUCGUAUCGCCGGGUAGCUAAGUUCGGAAGAGAUAAACGCUGAAAGCAUCUAAGCGUGAAACUCGCCUUAAGAUAAGAUUUCCCGGAGUCUUGAACUCCCUGAAGGGUCGUCGAAGACCACGACGUUGAUAGGUCAGGUGUGGAAGCGCAGCAAUGCGUUAAGCUAACUGAUACUAAUUGCCCGUGCGGCUUGAUCCU